This 187-nucleotide unclassified non-coding RNA is filed under the name uncultured Russula. Its description in RNAcentral is "sequence contains ITS1". The record is from RNAcentral. Lineage: Eukaryota; Fungi; Basidiomycota; Agaricomycetes; Russulales; Russulaceae.
UCGUGCAACCGAGGUGCAAGGGCUGUCGCUGACCUUUAAGGGUUGUGCACGCUCAAGCACUCUCACACAUCCAUCUCACCCCUUUGUGCAUCACCGCGUGGGCCUUCCUUUGCAGGAGGGCUUGCGUUUAUCACACAAUACUCAAUACAGUGUAGAAUGUUUCUUUUGCGAUCACACGCAAUCAAUA